GAUGAACGCUAGCGGCAGGCUUAAUACAUGCAAGUCAAGGGGGUAGCAAUACAACCGGCGCACGGGUGAGUAACGCGUACACAACAUACCAUAUACUGGAGUAUAGCUUUGGGAAACUGAAGGUAAUCCUCCAUAACAUUGCGAGAGGGCAUCUGAUUGCAAUUAAAGUUUCGGCGGUAUAUGAUUGGUGUGCGUUUGAUUAGCUAGUUGGUAGGGUAACGGCCUACCAAGGCGACGAUCAAUAGCUGGCGUGAGAGCGCGACCAGCCACACUGGAACUGAGACACGGUCCAGACUCCUACGGGAGGCAGCAGUAGGGAAUAUUGGACAAUGGAGGAAACUCUGAUCCAGCCAUGCCGCGUGAUAGAUGAAGGCCCUCUGGGUUGUAAAUAUCUUUUAUCUGGGAAGAAACACUCCUAUUCUUAGGAACUUGACGGUACCAGAGGAAUAAGCACCGGCUAACUCCGUGCCAGCAGCCGCGGU
RNAcentral lists this ribosomal RNA (482 nucleotides) under uncultured bacterium. RNAcentral describes it as "bacterial SSU rRNA". It matches the Rfam family "Bacterial small subunit ribosomal RNA", at positions 28 to 521 of the family's 1533-position model. The record is from RNAcentral.